RNAcentral lists this ribosomal RNA (799 nucleotides) under uncultured delta proteobacterium. RNAcentral's name for it is "bacterial SSU rRNA". It matches the Rfam family "Bacterial small subunit ribosomal RNA", at positions 55 to 826 of the family's 1533-position model. Lineage: Bacteria; Deltaproteobacteria. The record is from RNAcentral.
AUUCAAGUCGCACGAGAAAGCUUCUGCUUGCAGAGGCGAGUAAAGUGGCGCACGGGUGAGUAACACGUGGGUAAUCUACCUCCGAAUUGGGGAUAACAUUGCGAAAGCGAUGCUAAUACCGGAUAAUAUUACAGAUUCUUCGGAAUUUGUGAUCAAAGGUGGCCUCUUCAUGAAAGCUAUUGUUUGGAGAUGAGCCCGCGUCCCAUUAGCUAGUUGGCAGGGUAAUGGCCUACCAAGGCAACGAUGGGUAGCUGGUCUGAGAGGAUGAUCAGCCACACUGGAACUGGUACACGGUCCAGACUCCUACGGGAGGCAGCAGUGAGGAAUUUUGCGCAAUGGGGGAAACCCUGACGCAGCAACGCCGCGUGAGUGAUGAAGGCCUUCGGGUCGUAAAGCUCUGUCAAGUGGGAAGAAGUCAUGUAUGGCUAAUAUCCAUGCAUGUUGACGGUACCACUGAAGGAAGCACCGGCUAACUCCGUGCCAGCAGCCGCUGUAAUACGGGGGGUGCAAGCGUUACUCGGAAUCAUUGGGCGUAAAGGGCGCGUAGGCGGCCUGGUAAGUCAGAUGUGAAAGCCCGGGGCUCAACCCCGGAAGUGCAUUUGAUACUGCCAGGCUUGAGUAUGGGAGAGGGAAGUGGAAUUCCUGGUGUAGAGGUGAAAUUCGUAGAUAUCAGGAGGAACACCGGUGGCGAAGGCGACUUCCUGGACCAAUACUGACGCUGAGGCGCGAAGGCGUGGGGAGCAAACAGGAUUAGAUACCCUGGUAGUCCACGCAGUAAACGUUGUUCACUAGGUGUAGC